AAGUCGUAACAAGGUUUCCGUAGGUGAACCUGCGGAAGGAUCAUUAACAGUAUCCAAACGUUAACCCCCUGUGAACCUUCAAUGUGCUCGUACAAGCCCCUUUAUCACCACUUGAUGCAUGACAGACGCGCCAGCGCUUAAUUGUGCGGCGACCAAAAACCGAACAACUGUUAACAAUGGAUAUCUUGGUUCUCA
Molecule: unclassified non-coding RNA, 195 nt
Filed under: fungal sp.
Lineage: Eukaryota; Fungi
Description: partial internal transcribed spacer region
Rfam family: Eukaryotic small subunit ribosomal RNA (bases 1-46)
Source: RNAcentral